RNAcentral lists this ribosomal RNA (78 nucleotides) under uncultured eukaryote. RNAcentral describes it as "partial 18S ribosomal RNA". The record is from RNAcentral.
CCUUGGCCGAGAGGCCUGGGGAAUCUUCGUAACGUGCAUCGUGAUAGGGAUCGAUCAUUGCAAUUCUUGAUCGUGAAC